GGGGAAUAUUGCACGAUGGGGGAAACCCUGAUGCAGCAACGCCGCGUGAGUGAUGAAGGCCUUCGGGUUGUAAAGCUCUAUCAGCAGGGAAGAAAAUGACGGUACCUGACUAAGAAGCCCCGGCUAACUACGUGCCAGCAGCCGCGGUAAUACGUAGGGGGCAAGCGUUAUCCGGAUUUACUGGGUGUAAAGGGAGCGUAGACGGCGACGCAAGUCUGGCGUGAAAGCCCGGGGCCCAACCCCGGGACUGCUUUGGAAACUGUGCUGCUGGAGUGCAGGAGAGGUAAGUGGAAUUCCUAGUGUAGCGGUGAAAUGCGUAGAUAUUAGGAGGAACACCAGUGGCGAAGGCGGCUUACUGGACUGUAACUGACGUUGAGGCUCGAAAGCGUGGGGAGCAAAC
This 400-nucleotide ribosomal RNA is filed under the name uncultured bacterium. Its description in RNAcentral is "bacterial SSU rRNA". It matches the Rfam family "Bacterial small subunit ribosomal RNA", at positions 356 to 773 of the family's 1533-position model. The record is from RNAcentral.